Molecule: ribosomal RNA, 468 nt
Filed under: uncultured bacterium
Lineage: Bacteria
Description: partial 16S ribosomal RNA
Rfam family: Bacterial small subunit ribosomal RNA
Source: RNAcentral
GACGAACGCUGGCGGCGUGCUUAACACAUGCAAGUCGAACGGAAAGGCCCUGCUUUUGUGGGGUGCUCGAGUGGCGAACGGGUGAGUAACACGUGUGUAGCCUGCCCUUGACUUUGGGAGAAUAUCUGGUGACUGGGGCUAAUACCGGAUCGGAGCUCCUGCUGCCUGGUGGGGGUUGGAAAGUGUCGGCGGUUGGGGAUGGACUCGCGGCUUAUCAGCUUGUUGGUGGGGUAGUGGCUUACCAAGGCUUUGACGGGUAGCCGGCCUGAGAGGGUGACCGGCCACCUUGGGACUGAGAUAGGGACCAGACUCCUACGGGAGGCAGCAGUGGGGAAUAUGACACAGUGGGCGGAAGCGUGAUGCAGCAACGCCGCGUGCGGGAUGACGGCCUUCGGGUGGUAAACCGCUUUCGCCUGUGACGAAGCGUGAGUGACGGUAAUGGGUAAAGAAGCACCGGCUAACUACGUG